CGGUGCGUAACUCAAUUGGCAGAGUGGGUGGCUUUUAACCACAGGGUUGCAGGUUCGAUGCCUGUCGCGCCGACCA
RNAcentral lists this transfer RNA (76 nucleotides) under Erwinia phage SunLIRen. Its description in RNAcentral is "tRNA-Lys". It matches the Rfam family "tRNA". From Rfam's summary of the family: Transfer RNA (tRNA) molecules are approximately 80 nucleotides in length. Lineage: Duplodnaviria; Heunggongvirae; Uroviricota; Caudoviricetes; Andersonviridae. The record is from RNAcentral. RNAcentral also lists the same sequence under 7 other names.